AUGGCGGGGGUUAAUUCUCUAAGGAAUGGCUAUAUCUGGCGAGUUGGAAACGGACAAAAAAUUGAUAUUUGGGAAGAUGCAUGGAUUCCGAAUUUUGCAAAUAGAAAAAUAAUUACUCCUAGGAGGGGGCAACUUUUGUCAAAGGUUUCUGAUCUUAUUGACCCAAUUACGAGUUAUUGGGAUGAAGACUUGGUGAGACAAACGUUGUGGCCAAUUGACACUCAAAGGGUACUUGCAAUCCCCCUUCCGAUACAUAAAAUGACGGAUUUCAUUGCUUGGAGUUUCACAAAAAAUGGGUUGUUCACUGUUCGAUCGGCUUAUUGGGAGGAAUGGAACAAACAACAUGGAAGAAAAUUACAAUAUACGAAUGGUAUGGGUAGAUCCAAUGUUAAUCCUGUUUGGAGCAAGAUCUGGAAGCUAUCUUGUCCGGCAAAGAGGCACGGCGGGGCAGUCUUGAGAGAUGACAAAGGAAGGUUCAUUGUUGGCGGAAGUUGGCGACUUGACUGGUGUGCGGAUGUUCUAACGGCAGAAGCAUUGGCACUGAGGUUUGGCCUUACCCUAGCACAGAAGGCGGGGUGCAACCGCCUUAUUGUUAACUCUGAUAAUACGGAAGUGAUUGACACGAUGAAGAAUGGAGGACAAUCGGCGGGAGCGGCGACGAUUUGA
Molecule: ribosomal RNA, 666 nt
Filed under: Triticum aestivum (bread wheat)
Lineage: Eukaryota; Viridiplantae; Streptophyta; Magnoliopsida; Poales; Poaceae
Description: partial small subunit ribosomal RNA
Source: RNAcentral